Aedes albopictus (Asian tiger mosquito) is the source of this 73-nucleotide non-coding RNA. Lineage: Eukaryota; Metazoa; Arthropoda; Insecta; Diptera; Culicidae. The record is from Rfam.
UGUUCUUUGGCUUAUUUGGUAAAAUUGCCGUACUAGCGAUACGGAGCCGUGGGUUCGAAUCCCACCAAAGCAA